This 504-nucleotide ribosomal RNA is filed under the name uncultured bacterium. RNAcentral describes it as "partial 16S ribosomal RNA". It matches the Rfam family "Bacterial small subunit ribosomal RNA", at positions 30 to 523 of the family's 1533-position model. The record is from RNAcentral.
AUUGAACGCUGGCGGCAGGCCUAACACAUGCAAGUCGAACGGUAGCACAGAGAGCUUGCUCUUGGGUGACGAGUGGCGGACGGGUGAGUAAUGUCUGGGAAACUGCCCGACGGAGGGGGAUAACUACUGGAAACGGUAGCUAAUACCGCAUAACGUCUUCGGACCAAAGUGGGGGACCUUCGGGCCUCACACCAUCGGAUGUGCCCAGAUGGGACUAGCUAGUAGGUGGGGUAAAGGCUUACCUAGGCGACGAUCCGUAGCUGGUCUGAGAGGAUGACCAGCCACACUUGAACUGAGACACGGUCCAGACUCCUUCGGGAGGCAGCAAUGGGGAAUAUUUCACAAUGGGCUCAAGCCUGAUGCAGCCAUGCCGCGUGUAUGAAGAAGGCCUUCGGGUUGUAAAGUACUUUCAGCGGGGAGGAAGGCGUUAAGGUUAAUAACCUUGGCGAUUGACGUUACCCGCAGAAGAAGCACCGGCUAACUCCGUGCCAGCAGCCGCAGUAA